Molecule: transfer RNA, 71 nt
Filed under: Nanobdellota archaeon
Lineage: Archaea; Nanobdellati; Nanobdellota
Also listed under: 1 other name
Description: tRNA-Gly
Rfam family: tRNA
About the family: Transfer RNA (tRNA) molecules are approximately 80 nucleotides in length. Their secondary structure includes four short double-helical elements and three loops (D, anti-codon, and T loops). Further hydrogen bonds mediate the characteristic L-shaped molecular structure. tRNAs have two regions of fundamental functional importance: the anti-codon, which is responsible for specific mRNA codon recognition, and the 3' end, to which the tRNAs corresponding amino acid is attached (by aminoacyl-tRNA synthetases). tRNAs cope with the degeneracy of the genetic code in two manners: having more than one tRNA (with a specific anti-codon) for a particular amino acid; and 'wobble' base-pairing, i.e. permitting non-standard base-pairing at the 3rd anti-codon position.
Source: RNAcentral
GCGUGAUUAGUUUAGUGGUAGAACAGAACGUUGCCAACGUUCAGACGUGGGUUCGAUUCCCGCAUCGCGCA